UCUCUGAGAGUUUAUAGUGCUGUGAGUUUAACACUUCAUAACUCAACACAACACACAAAACUAAACAUCAACAAUGACCUUCACCAUCAUCUUCAUCUCAACACUUUUAUUCUCGUUUCAAGGGUGUAAAUCACAGAUCACAGUAACUCAAAGUCCUUCAGUGAAACUUGCAGCACGAGAAGACUCUGUUACUCUGAGAUGUUCUCUAUCACAUGAUACUUCAAGCUGUAGUCCACCCUGUGUGUCCUGGUACUUACAGAAACCUGGAGAAGCUCAUAAACUCCUGAUAUAUCGGACCAAAACCCUUCAGUCUGGAACUCCAUCAAGAUUCAGUGGCAGUGGAUCAAACACAGAUUUGACCUUGAGCAUCAGCAGAGUUCAGACUGAAGAUGCAGGAGAUUAUUACUGUAUAAGUGCAAAUGUCGUCAGUGGUAGCUAUGUGUUCACACAGUGA
Molecule: non-coding RNA, 454 nt
Organism: Misgurnus anguillicaudatus (oriental weatherfish)
Lineage: Eukaryota; Metazoa; Chordata; Actinopteri; Cypriniformes; Cobitidae
Source: the annotation of a RefSeq genome assembly